UGUUCACUUGUUUGUCUGCUGACCUUCC
RNAcentral lists this non-coding RNA (28 nucleotides) under Homo sapiens (human). Lineage: Eukaryota; Metazoa; Chordata; Mammalia; Primates; Hominidae. The record is from RNAcentral.